AUUGUUCGCAAUGGGCGCAAGCCUGACGACGCAACGCCGCGUGGAGGAUGAAGAUCUUCGGGUCGUAAACUCCUGUCGAGCGGGAAGAACACCUUUCGGGUGAACAAUCCGGGAGGCUGACGGUACCGCUAAAGGAAGCCCCGGCUAACUCCGUGCCAGCAGCCGCGGUAAUACGGGGGGGGCAAGCGUUGUUCGGAAUUACUGGGCGUAAAGGGCGCGUAGGCGGCCUUCUAAGUCGGACGUGAAAGCCCCAGGCUUAACCUGGGAACUGCGUCCGAUACUGGGAGGCUUGGAUUCGGGAGAGGGAUGUGGAAUUCCAGGUGUAGCGGUGAAAUGCGUAGAUAUCUGGAGGAACACCGGUGGCGAAGGCGGCAUCCUGGACCGAGAUCGACGCUGAGGCGCGAAAGCUAGGGGAGCAAAC
This 421-nucleotide ribosomal RNA is filed under the name uncultured bacterium. RNAcentral describes it as "bacterial SSU rRNA". It matches the Rfam family "Bacterial small subunit ribosomal RNA", at positions 361 to 773 of the family's 1533-position model. The record is from RNAcentral.